UUUUUUAAUGCAAAAAAUGUAUGUUCUUGAUAAUUGAGUUGUAGCCAUGUUUGGAGCUUGCAUUUUGUAUUAUUCUAAAUGUUUGUAAUUGAUAUGUACGAAAAUAUUAUUGUCCUUUUGCAAUAACAAAUAACAACGAAUAUGACUACAUGAACUACCGCAACAUAUUAUCAUUACAUAUGGUGAUUAUUUUUCUUUUUGAACUGUCAAGUUAAUUUAAACUUUUUACAUCUUAAUUUAGAUCGUAUAUUACUAAUUUUAUGCUUUAUUGUAGUCCAUGUAUGCUGAUAUACUUAUUCCAUGAUAAUUCUAUGUUUGUCCUUUUGUGUGAUGUAAAUUAAAUGUUGAAUGGCGGUUCAUGCAGGGGAAGAACAUAUCAAUAUUCGCAUAUUCAUUCAAAAACAUGAAAAUUCUUAAUGGAGUACCCUCAUUUUUUAUUGAAUUCCUAAAAAAAAAUAUUUAUAAUGAAUUUUAAUAAUUUUUUCGGAUUUUUUUGAAGCUUUAUUCUGACCGAUUCACCCGAUUCCGAUCCGGAUCGCCGAUUCGCCGAUCCGGAUCGCCGAUUCGCCGAUCCGGAUCGGUUUUUGAAAAGCCCGAUCCGGGUCACCGAUCCGGUUUUUAAACCAUUGGUUC
This 633-nucleotide long non-coding RNA is filed under the name Amborella trichopoda. Its description in RNAcentral is "long non-coding RNA (ATRI_LNC000992)". Lineage: Eukaryota; Viridiplantae; Streptophyta; Magnoliopsida; Amborellales; Amborellaceae. The record is from RNAcentral.